This 253-nucleotide ribosomal RNA is filed under the name uncultured bacterium. RNAcentral describes it as "partial 16S ribosomal RNA". It matches the Rfam family "Bacterial small subunit ribosomal RNA", at positions 524 to 776 of the family's 1533-position model. The record is from RNAcentral.
UACGGAGGGGGCCAGCGUUGCUCGGAAUUACUGGGCUUAAAGGGCGCGUAGGCGGGUUUGCAAGUCGGGGGUGAAAUCUUUCAGCUCAACUGGAAAAGUGCCCCCGAUACUGCGAGUCUCGAGGGAGGUAGGGGCAUGUGGAACUAAUGGUGGAGCGGUGAAAUGCGUAGAUAUCAUUAGGAACGCCGGUGGCGAAAGCGACGUGCUGGACCUCUUCUGACGCUGAGGCGCGAAAGCUAGGGGAGCAAACGGG